RNAcentral lists this ribosomal RNA (422 nucleotides) under Bacteroidota bacterium. RNAcentral describes it as "Bacteroidetes bacterium partial 16S ribosomal RNA". It matches the Rfam family "Bacterial small subunit ribosomal RNA", at positions 355 to 776 of the family's 1533-position model. Lineage: Bacteria; Pseudomonadati; Bacteroidota. The record is from RNAcentral.
UGGGGAAUUUUGCACAAUGGGCGCAAGCCUGAUGCAGCGACGCCGCGUGAGGGAUGAAGGCCUUCGGGUUGUAAACCUUUUUCGCUCAUGGUCAAGCCGCAGCUUUGGGUUGUGGUGAGGGUAGUGGGUAAAGAAGCGCCGGCUAACUACGUGCCAGCAGCCGCGGUAAUACGUAGGGCGCGAGCGUUGUCCGGAAUUAUUGGGCGUAAAGGGCUUGUAGGCGGUUGGCCGCGUCUGCCGUGAAAUCCUCUGGCUUAACUGGGGGCGUGCGGUGGGUACGGGUUGACUUGAGUGCGGUAGGGGGGACUGGAAUUCCUGGUGUAGCGGUGGAAUGCGCAGAUAUCAGGAGGAACACCGGUGGCGAAGGCGGGUCUCUGGUCUGUAACUGACGCUGAGGCUCGAAAGCGUGGGGAGCGAACAGG